This 216-nucleotide long non-coding RNA is filed under the name Mytilus galloprovincialis (Mediterranean mussel). Lineage: Eukaryota; Metazoa; Mollusca; Bivalvia; Mytilida; Mytilidae. The record is from RNAcentral.
GUCCUGCAUUUUUUUUAGCUGUAAUCUCUGUCCUGCCUUUUUAUUUUUCACUCUAAUCGGUCCUGCCUUCUUUUUUUUUUAGUUUAUCCUGACUUUUUUUUGCCUAAAUUGUCGUCCUGACUUUUUUUUUUUAGCAAGUGUCACAUCCUGACUUUUUUUUUUUACUCAAAACUCCUGUCCUGCCUAUUUUUUUUCAAAUUUCAUCCUAGCCCCCCC